GCUGGGCAUGGUGGCACAUGCCUGUAGUCCUGUCUACUCAGGAGGCUGAGACAGGAGGCUUGCUUGAGCUCAGGAGUUCUAGGUUGCAAUAAGCUAUGAUCUCACCUCUACGCUUUAGCCUGGACGACAGAGCGAGAUCCUGCUUCUU
This 148-nucleotide non-coding RNA is filed under the name Chlorocebus sabaeus (green monkey). Lineage: Eukaryota; Metazoa; Chordata; Mammalia; Primates; Cercopithecidae. The record is from Rfam by way of RNAcentral.